GAUGAACGCUAGCGAUAGGCCUAACACAUGCAAGUCGAGGGGCAGCAUAAGGAAGUAGCAAUACUUUCUGGUGGCGACCGGCGCACGGGUGAGUAACACGUAUGCAACCUGCCUUCAACAAGGGGAUAACCCGUUGAAAGACGGACUAAUACCCUAUAACACAGGGGUCCCGCAUGGGAAUAUUUGUUAAAGGACAACCGGUUGAAGAUGGGCAUGCGUUCCAUUAGCUAGUUGGCGGGUAACGGCCCACCAAGGCAACGAUGGAUAGGGGAACUGAGAGGUUUAUCCCCCACACUGGUACUGAGACACGGACCAGACUCCUACGGGAGGCAGCAGUGAGGAAUAUUGGUCAAUGGACGCAAGUCUGAACCAGCCACGUCGCGUGAAGGAAGACGG
RNAcentral lists this ribosomal RNA (396 nucleotides) under uncultured bacterium. RNAcentral describes it as "bacterial SSU rRNA". It matches the Rfam family "Bacterial small subunit ribosomal RNA", at positions 28 to 414 of the family's 1533-position model. The record is from RNAcentral.